Molecule: ribosomal RNA, 478 nt
Filed under: uncultured bacterium
Lineage: Bacteria
Description: partial 16S ribosomal RNA
Rfam family: Bacterial small subunit ribosomal RNA
Source: RNAcentral
GAUGAACGCUGGCGGCGUGCUUAACACAUGCAAGUCGAACGAGAAAUGGAGACGGAAACCUUCGGGCGGAAGGCUUCAUUUCGAGUGGCGGACGGGUGAGUAACGCGUGGGUAACCUGCCUCAUACAGGGGGAUAACAGUUGGAAACGACUGUUAAUACCGCAUAAGACCACAGCACCGCAUGGUGCGGGGGUAAAAACUCCGGUGGUAUGAGAUGGACCCGCGUUCGAUUAGCCAGUUGGCGGGGUAACGGCCCACCAAAGCGACGAUCGAUAGCCGAUCUGAGAGGAUGACCGGCCACAGUGGGACUGAGACACGGCCCAAACUCCUACGGGAGGCAGCAGUGGGGAAUAUUGCACAAUGGGGGAAACCCUGAUGCAGCGACGCCGCGUGAGUGAAGAAGUACUUCGGGAUGUAAAGCUCUAUCAGCAGGGAAGAAAAUGACGGUACCUGAGUAAGAAGCCCCGGCUAACUACGUG